AGAGUUUGAUCAUGGCUCAGAACGAACGCUGGCGGCGUGCUUAACACAUGCAAGUCGAGUGCGCGCCUGUAGCAAUACAGGUGGCGCACGGCGCACGGGUGCGUAACACGUGGGUAAUCUGCCCUCUGAUGGGGAAUAACUCGCCGAAAGGCGAGCUAAUUCCGCAUAAUAUUCCGAGAACUUUGGUUUUUGGACUGAAAGGCGUAAGUCGUCGGAGGAGGAGCCCGCGCACGAUUAGCUAGUUGGUAGGGUAAUGGCCUACCAAGGCUUUGAUCGUUAGCUGGUCUGAGAGGAUGGCCAGCCACACUGGAACUGAGACACGGUCCAGACUCCUACGGGAGGCAGCAGUGGGGAAUCUUGCACAAUGGGCGAAAGCCUGAUGCAGCGACGCCGCGUGGGGGAUGAAGCUUCUCGGAGUGUAAACCCCUUUCGAUCCGGACGAAUACCUCGCAAGAGGGGUGACGGUACGGAUAUAAGAAGCCCCGGCUAACUACGUGCCAGCAGCCGCGGUAAUACGUAGGGGGCCAGCGUUGUUCGGAAUUACUGGGUGUAAAGGGUUCGUAGGCGGUGCGGCAAGUUGGGAGUGAAAUCUCUGGGCUUAACCCAGAGACGGCUUCCAAAACUGCUGUGCUUGAGUGUGGGAGAGGCUCGUGGAAUUGCAGGUGUAGCGGUGAAAUGCGUAGAUAUCUGCAGGAACACCCGUGGCGAAAGUGGCGAGCUGGACCACUACUGACGCUGAAGAACGAAAGCUAGGGGAGAAAAGGAUUAGAUACCCNNGUAGUCC
RNAcentral lists this ribosomal RNA (784 nucleotides) under uncultured bacterium. RNAcentral's name for it is "bacterial SSU rRNA". It matches the Rfam family "Bacterial small subunit ribosomal RNA", at positions 8 to 796 of the family's 1533-position model. The record is from RNAcentral.